GACGAACGCUGGCGGCGUGCUUAACACAUGCAAGUCGAACGGAAAGGCCCUGCUUUUGUGGGGUGCUCGAGUGGCGAACGGGUGAGUAACACGUGAGUAACCUGCCCUUGACUUUGGGAUAACUUCAGGAAACUGGGCUAAUACCGGAUAGGAGCUCCUGCUGCAUGGUGGGGGUUGGAAAGUUUCGGCGGUUGGGGAUGGACUCGCGGCUUAUCAGCUUGUUGGUGGGGUAGGGGCUUACCAAGGCUUUGACGGGUAGCCGGCCUGAGAGGGUGACCGGCCACAUUGGGACUGAGAUACGGCCCAGACUCCUACGGGAGGCAGCAGUGGGGAAUAUUGCACAAUGGGCGGAAGCCUGAUGCAGCAACGCCGCGUGCGGGAUGACGGCCUUCGGGUUGUAAACCGCUUUCGCCUGUGACGAAGCGUGAGUGACGGUAAUGGGUAAAGAAGCACCGGCUAACUACGUG
RNAcentral lists this ribosomal RNA (467 nucleotides) under uncultured bacterium. Its description in RNAcentral is "partial 16S ribosomal RNA". It matches the Rfam family "Bacterial small subunit ribosomal RNA", at positions 28 to 507 of the family's 1533-position model. The record is from RNAcentral.